ACGGAGCUGCCGCUUCCCGCCCCGCGCCCAGGGAAGGAGGGAGACGGAGCAGGGAGCACGACGGAUGCACCCGCGCUACCAGACCCCGCUCUUCGCUCUGCGCCCGCCCGGCAGGCUUGAUGACUCUACAGCAAUGGAAAAGAAUGCAUUCCUCUGAUUGCAAUGGGAUCAUGUAAAUCUGCAAAGCACUCCUAGCAGCAGAAUUCUUGGCAUUAUACCACACUGUAUGGAUCCCUGAAUUCUGAGUUGCUUUGAAGGAACGUCAGGAGAUUAAGGAGAAACACAGCAUUAAGAGACAUUCUCAAAUUAUAGGUGCUCAUUUACCAAAUUGUACCAAACUAAGAGAAAACUGUACUUCCAAAUGUGGAUGGACAUCUCCACAGCCAUUCUGCUCUCCAGAGCAUAGCUGGUCAAUCCAGAGACACAUAUCUAAGGCAUUCAGGUAAAAUGCUGAAGACCACUCAAAGAAAAAGAAGGGUCUGUUUAUUUUACUUUGGUGAAGAUCAGCUUAUAGUGGAACAGGUUUCAGAGAGAGUAAAUACAGAUGUUUAUGACCUUGAAAUUUUGGACUAAUAUUUUUAUGCAGCAUACUAUACGUAACAAUAGAGGUGAAAACUUACAGAAAAGGCAUGGAAAGGAAGCAGAGUACUGCUGACUCAAAAACGAACUAUUGCAGCCCUACUCCUUAGUUUUAUGAGAGCACAGUCCAUAGUUCAUGCACAAUCAUCUUACCUGUACUGAGUGGGCACAUUGCAAACAAGGCCAUAAAAACCUGUCAGAACAGUUCCUGUGUGAUGAUAGAAUUGCAAGUCACACUAGAACAGUAUAAUGGUUACUCAUUUCAUAGUUUAAUUCAAGGAAGCGUAGAAUAUGGUAGAGAACUGAUAUUCUUUAAGUAUAGAGCAGAAUAGUUAUUUGAGCUUUUGCCUAAUUAUAGAAUAAAAACUAAAGCAAUGCUAUGUCAUCUGUUUAAAGCAUAUACUCAUGUCAGAAAGUAGUGAGCAUUUGGCUUAAAAAUAAUUUUAAUCAAUUAAUUCAUCAGUGUGGUCCAUCACAUUAUUCAGAAAUAGCUUCUUUUAGUAAAUGGAUCAUGAAUCGAUAGUAGACAUAAAUAAAGCAGUACAAAGGGCACAUCAUUCAGCAAGCUGCCAACUGCUGUGGCAGAAGAUGGCAGAAAUCAGUAUCCCAGGUCAGACAGAAUAAAUCAGAAAUUGGCAGAUAUUACACAAAGAUGCCAUUUUUUAGCAGAAACUCAAGAUUUCUGUCAUCUCCCAAGAGUUACUGAAAUACAGAAACAUUUACAAACUUUAUAUGAGACAUCAGUUCAAGAUGGAGUUUGGUCUGAAGUCUGUUUUUCACUAAAUACUUUCAAGUUCAUCCCUCUUAGGGUUUGCAGAAUUCUUGAAAUAUAGAGAAUGAAUUGUGAGGCUGCUAAAGAUCUCUCUGGAGAGAGAGAAAAAGUCAUUCUGCAGACUUUGUAUUUUAGCUCAAAGGAUCAAUUCUUGAGAGAAACUGUAUAACUGUAAUUCCUGUAUGGUCAGUGAGAGGUGGAGUUACUCAGCACUUUUUAGGAUUUGGCCCACAGCAGAAGGAGAAAUAAAACCAGUUUUCUCAAGCAGUCAAAUGAAAAAGCUCUAUUAUUCAUAUCUGGACAAUCUUAUUUAGAUGUCUCUAAAAGAAAACAACUCAUGACUCAUUUUGUCUGUUAAGUAUUAAUAACUAACUUCUUUGGGACUUAACAUUUCUAGGCCAUUUAUGUGAGUAGAUAUUUUCAAUUGAGAGAAUCCAAAUUGUCAAGAAUUCAACAUCCAUAAAAAUUUCAUUAUGACUAACUGCAUAUUUUCUUAAUGCGAAAAAUGCUAUUACUCUCUUAUCAAAACUAUGAGCUUCAUACCUAAAAAAAGAAUAAGAUUCUCAUAGUAUAAGUUACAAAUUAUACACUUUUAAACUUCAUUAAAAAUAAAGUUAAUGAUAGAAUAUUUGUAAAUAAUCACAAUUUUAGAUUGUGCAAGCAGGCAUGAACACUAAGCAUGAUGUUUUACAUCUUUUCCAGUAUCAUUUAUCUUUUAAAAACUGAAUCCUGGAUAAUUACUGCAAACCACGUAAUUGUUAAUUUCACUUUUAAGCCUUUUAAAUUACUGACUUCAUAAAACUAUGACACAGCAGCAAAGGAGAAACUUGACUCAGGUUGAAUGUACUUGAACCAGUUUUCAAUUUGCCACAUUCUCACUGCUUACACCACAGAUUUUCCCACUGUAUCUUCUUAAUGUUGUCUAUUAGAAAUGUUUAUCAUAGCACUGCAUACGAGGUCAGUUGGAACUGAGACCCCAAAUGUGCUAACACUAUAAGAAAUAAAAGCUAGUCUCUGCUUCAGAUCUAGUUGAUAAAAAGCGAAAGGAAAUAAUGCAGGCAGAGAGAACAAUGAGACUGUGGUAUACAUCAUACAGUUUUUGUUGUCUGCAUUUUAGUAUUCCAGUCCUUUUCCUGAGGCCCUGUUAGGAAAGAAUUGUAUAGACAACAAGACAAAGGCAACAAGGACACAGAACAAAUUACAGCAAGCAGCCCAUCAAAACACAUCCGAGGACAUCCUGAGUGCAAGCUUCCACAAGGCAAUACAGUGGUACUGCCUUGAUUUCAGUUUCUGGAUGUAUCUCAGUAUUUCUUCUCACAGUGUCUGCAUAGGGUACGUUCAAAUCCUAGUACCACUUAAAUGUCCUACUUCUACACAUGCUGUAUAAGAAGAGAGGCCUUUGUUAUUUAGUAGCCACCAUUUAAGAGGCUAAAAAUUCACUGCAUUUUUGCUGUCAGUAUCUUUGUUAGCUAGAUAGCGUUUAAUAGAUGGAAAACAAAGAUAACUAAGUGCCUGACCCCAGAAAUCAGGUUAAAAAAAAUAAUAAUAAUUACAUGUACAGCAUUCCUCCAGGCUCUCUUAGUGGUGCCCAGAGACAAGACAAAGGGUAAUGGGCACAAACUGGAACACAGGAGGUUCUAUAUAAACAUGAGAAAAAACUUCUUUACUUUGAGGGUGACAGAGCACUGGAACAGGCUGCCCAGAGAGGUUGCAGAGUCUUCUCUGGAGAUAUUCAAAACCCACCUGGAUGCUUUCCUGUGCAACCUACUCUAGGGAACCUGCUUUAGCAGGGAGAGAAAUUAAAUGAUGUUCGGAAGUCUCUUCAAACCCAUUUUGCUUUCUCAAGUGUACUUUACUACAAGUUAUAUAUGUACUAGUUUUGUAAUUAUUUUGAAGUAACAAUUGUAUGCAUUACCCUACUACUAGAAUUUUGGCAAAAAAAACAUCCAAGUGAGAUAUUGUAAUUGUGUCAAUCUCAAUUAUUUUAAGAAUACUUCAGAUGGAUAUGUACAUAAAAUGCCUGCUCAUUAUUGGAAAGCAGUCUAAGUCAUUCUUCUACUUAAUGAGAUGAAUAACACCAGCACAGAUGAGUGCACAUCCCUCUUAUACUGAUCUUCCCAAAUCAUUUAAAUACAUUCAUACUAAGAAAAAAGACAAUAGUUACAGCCAGUAUUGUAUCCAUGAUAGUAUUUAUUUUUUCAAAAUUCAACCAGAUGAGUGUAAGGUCCGUUUGUAUCCAGUUUUAACACCUGUCUGUUUCCAUAUGUGCCAUGCUUAACAAGAACACCUGCUUCCACGCAUUUGGCAUUGGCAGCCAGUUCCUUUUCACACAAAGUCACAAACUGAGAAUAAAGUUCCAUUCCUUUUUGUUUUUCUAUGUUUGCAUGGUACUGCAUCUUUCUUCCCUUCAGUUUACCACCCAGUGUAGCUUGUGGUAUGAUGAGCACAUUGCCUGGUAAAUCAAGGACAGAUACGUACUCUCCAUUUUCAUUUUCACUUAAUUUAACAUUCAACAGCACAUUGACUGCAAAUAAAGUAAAAAAUUAGUGUAACUAAAGUAAGUCAAAUAGGACCUAAUAUAACAUAAAACAACAUUCAAGAUUUUAGAAGAUAGUCCAAAAUAGCUUAUUUUACUUGAUUUGCUUGUCCUGACUGUUACUAAAACAAAACAUGGAUUGUUAUUGAAUACUAUUAACUGGUUAAGAUGUCAGAGUAUUGUGAAGAAUGCAAAGGAUAUUGGUAUCAAUGCAGUGUGCCUAAGUAGAAUUUUUUGUGGGUGGGACAAUGGUUUGCUCUUUAAAAUCCUGCAGUUUAUUCUAGUUGGAGCUCCCCAAAGGAACCCAGGAUCUAACUAGUGACCCUAAAGUAAUUACCUGAUACUCCUCCAACACUCACAGAAGAGUAUACAUUGUAAGAAGACCAUCUUUGAUAAACUUGAAGACAUUACUGUCCUGACUUUCUGUAUGGUUGAAGUAGCUGGCAGCAGUAUCCAACACCAAACUGAUCCUGCUGAAACCCUGGGGUCAGCAGUUUAGUCUCACCCAGAGCAAGCAGAAGACAUGCAGGUGUCAGCCUGCCUUUUGAGAUAAAGGCAAGCAGGCAAGUCAGAGAUGCAAUUUGGUCCAUUAAAUGCAGUGUGUAAGCUUGCAAAUAGAACUGAUGUGUUUGAUAACAUUACAUUUUCUAAUGUUUCUAUAAUUAUCAAAUUCUUCCCCCAGAAUUUCUUCCACCCAUUUAAAAGCUGUGAGAAUACUUGUCAUCACUCUAAACCUACAAGAGAAAACUACACCAACUUAAACAGUUUCAAAACAUAUUAAGAACAAAAAUAGUCCAUAAAACAGACACUUGGGAAGAGGGCAAAGAAUAAACCUCCUAAAUAGCAAAGAGAACUUUCUUUUUCUGGCCUGUUUCAGCUGCCAAAAAGCUGAAAAGGUGAUUAUUCUCCAGUAUCAUAAAACUCUCACAAGCAUAAGAUCAGUUUUCAUACCAUGCUGCUUUAAAUACACCUAAAGAUUUCAACUUAGUUUAGCAUCACAAAUGCCCUUGAAGACCAAGAGCUGUUCUCAGCAUUUUCAUUAACACCUGUGCUUGCUCAUUGCUAGGCCUUUCUGCUGGUACCAGCAAACAGCUUGAAAUAGACUGUUACACGACCUUUUGUGAAACUACUACUAUCAGCAACCCAUAGAAAUGGGGCGCUUUUAUGUGGAACACACAUCACUGAAUUCCCUAAAUAAUCCACUGCCAGUGAUAGAGGAAAAGAGGCAGAAGAAAUUAAAUAAAAGUAAAAAACAACAACAAAACACACACAAAAAAAACCCCAACAAAACAAAGCAAGCAGCCAACCAACCAUCACUGCUGCUAAAAGCUACUCUAGAAGAAAGCAGACAAAUGGUAGAGUUUAACCUGAAUAAAGCAUCAGUUCCACCUGGAUAUAAAUGUUAAAAGCGCAUGCAGAGAAGAGUAGAUGAGUGACAGAUAUUGCUGUUAUCACUUCUGAUCCAGAAAGACUAACAAUAUGCAGUAUGAGACUGGACACUAGUUAGUUAUCCACCCAACUCCCUCUACUGGCUAUAAUUUUAAACAUCCAGUACAUUCAGGAAGAUCAAAAUUAAUAUACCUCUUAAAUGAAGCCAUGAAUUAUCUGCAAACCAUCUUCUCUAAGUUCAGUCCUGUCCUAGACUGAAGAUAUUGCUUGAUAGUCGUAAUAUAAUCAUUAGUAGGUGUAGCACUUUCUGUUUGCUAGAUUGUUUUCAACAUGAACAUUCAGUGUGAAUUGAUCUUCUAACAGGUUAAUCAUGAACUGACAGUGAAAAAAGAUGGACAGAUGUGAAACAUAUGAAACAUAACCAACCAAAUUGUUCUGUCAGCCACCUGGUUAGUUGGGAAUGAUGCUAUUUGAUGGCUUUUUGACUUCUCAUCUAAAUAGCUGCUGCCUUUCCCCUGCCGCUACCACUUAAUUCUUUAAAAAACUAUAUGUGAAUUUAUAAGGAUAACUUAUACCAUACCAAUUUUUGGAACAAGAUCCUCAUCAGCACCUUUGAAGAAGCAUAUAUAGAUAACAAGUCCUCUCUGGAUCUACAAAAGAUUACAGAAAACAACAUCAAUCUCUCAUUAUCCACCAUGCAGGUUUAUCAUUAAAACUGAUACAGAAAGUGACAAAACUACAAUAACAAAAUUCCCAAGAUUAAUUUUACUUAUUUUCUAUAGCAUCAGAUUUCAAAUUUAUGGGCUUACAAAAGUUCAUUAUAUAAACCAACUACCUGCACAAUGCUGCUACAUGCAAUUAAGUCACUUUGUCAGCUGCAUGUGAAGCCACACUUAGUUGUAAUAUAGUAUGUACAGUAUUACUGUUAUUACAGAUAUUACAGAUAAAAUAAUUUACAGAGUGAAAUAUGGCUUUAUUUGCUAUUAUAAAAUAUGUCAAAUACCAUGGGGCUUGUCUGUGAACUGAAUUAUAUUUUUAUGUUAAAAACAGACUAGUAAAGGACAGUUCUAACAAAGCAGUCUGAUAAUUAACAUUUAAAUGUAACAACCAAUUUAAAUAUGAUGACCAACAAUUGUUCACAAUAUCACAAUGCUAUAAAGUUAUCAAAAAUAUUAUCCAUCAGUUCAGGUGAAACCUUUCUGCCAAAUUGGACCUCUCCCUUGAUUCAUGUCAGGUAAAGGAUAUGCCACUUCUUUAGCAAACUAAGAGACCACUAGAAAGAACUGUCCAUUUGAGGAAACAAUUAGGUCUGUAGUAAUAAGAAAGCAUAAAGUAAUUCCCUCGUAACUUUUUUCCCCUCUCUGGUUUAGUUCACAAACAUGUGCAACAAAGAGUGCUUUACUAAGAAAAUAAAGCUAUUUGGCUACGCAACCAACAAGCAUGCUGUUUCAUGUUCAAGCAUCUGUCAAUGGUUUAACCUCUCUGGGCAAAAGCAGAGGCCAUACACAGUGUGACAAUAAUAAGAAAUCCUACCCUCUCACCACUGUUUUGUCAAGAAUAAUUAUCCUUAUAUUCCUGUUAAAUGGAAAAUUAACAUCAGCUCAAAGAAAAAAUGAAAUACUACAUUAGAGAUGCUAACUAGAUCAGAACAGGAAGGAUUCAUUACUUUCAAAGUUAUCAAAACAGAAGGAUAAGAAAUAUGAAUGUUACUUAGAAAAAAAAUAAAGGAUCGUGUUGUUUUUUUCUAACUCAUUCUUUUCCUUAAAACAUAGAACUUUUUGGUAAAGAAAACAACUAUACACAUGAGAUUUCAGCCUUUUGUUAUUGUGGAGAUUGAACGAAGCACUCAAGGCAAUGUCUGAGAUCUGCACCUUCAUUACUAUUUUUCUACUUUCUAAUUUCUGAAGAAGAGAACGCUCUUUAUAGCUUAAAUGUCACAUGCAGAGAUUCUUUCAGAAGCUAUAAAGAGCUCCUCUCAAAACUCAUUUUGACCACUGCAGAACAUUAUGCAGGUUCCCAUUCCCAAAUGAUUGCCAUAUUUCAUAAACACUGUAAUAAAUUUGAUGUCCCGAACCUCAAAUGGCAUUUCAAACUCCCUACUCAAACGACAGAGAAAUAAAGGCUGCCAAAGGAUAGACUGUCUUACGUAUUUAGCUAAAUAUUAGUUCCAGAAUCAGACUAACAUCAGAACGUUAAUAAAGAAUAAGGCAUACAAAAACUACUAAUAAAAAACUAUUAGGUAGGUCGAAUACAUUUACAUUAUUACACUAACUUAGAGAAAAGCAAUUAUACUGUGUUGCACACCUCACAAAUGACUACUCCAACCCUGAGACUUCUGAAAGCUUUUGAAUAUUUUCACAUAUGGAAGUAACAAUAUUCUGCAGGAAGCACCUUUAAAAAGCCAAAAAGGGAAAUAAAGUAACACUUAAGACUCUAAGACCAGUUAACUAAAAAUGAUUAUUAUUAUCUAUUAUGUUAAUUAACAUUAUUUUCCAGCCCCUCUCACGAUUCAAUGCUUAAUUUGGAACACUUUUUCCAUCAUAAAAUUAAAUACAUAAAGGCUUCAGCACCUGUUACAAUCAGACAGAUUAACAAGGUGGAAGAGCAACAAAGGAAAAGUAAAGGUGCUCACCCAUCUGAAAGAAUUUAAGCUCACAAGGACUCCACCAGAGAGAAAUCUCCAACCAGAGAUCCUUCCCUAGUAGCAGUCAGCCCUUAAAUGAGGUCUAAUAGAGGUGCAGCCAGGCUCCACCCCUUCCACUCACACAGCAGAAUUGCUUUCACCUCCCAUGGCUGACUUUGUUCUUUUCCCAGAUGAUCAAUCAGUGGUUCAGGCUGUGACUCAACAGUUACCAUACAGUGCUUCACACCAAUCAAAUAUAAAAUGAAAAAGUCUGAAUUCAGAGACAAGUUAAUGCUAUGAGGGGAUGUUUGUAUUAUGUGCUUAUUAUCUUCUAGGACACUUAGAAACUAUGUUAUGGAUGAAAACUAUCCAGUGUUCACAAGUUAAAAUUCAUGGUUUCAACUGUGAUUGAGAACUAUAUUUGAACACUUCAUAACACAUUCAAUCAUGCUUCAGCCUCAACCUAUAAUAUAUAUAUACUUUUUCCUCCUUUAACCGAGUGGGAGACUCAAAACUGAAUUUAAAGAGCUAACCUAAUUGUAAUACACGUCAGUCCUCGGGUCUCACACAGGUAUUCCAGGUGUCCUUGCUGUUCAGAGCUACAUUUUACCCAGGAAAUGUCAAGCAAAAUAACACAAAUAAGAAAGUUACAAAUGCAACAUGCUGACAAGCAAACAGUCACUAGAAAGAACUUAGUGAAAGGCAGGCAGCUGUGCUGUGUGGAUUUGCUGUUAUCAGUGAAAUGCCUACAUAAAUAAAGCAGAGAAUCAAGUUACUCUGCAACAUGAGCAUUUUUUGUACAACUGUCCUAAGUAAUCAUCAGAGCAGGCAAACCUGCAUCACGAAGGGCUCAAGUAUCCAGUCCCUGAGGCCACACAGCAAGCCUCAGCUCUGCCACCUCCAAACACUCCUUUUUAGCUCCACUGCAGGAUAAACAACUAAGUCCUUCCCCUACCCUCUUUACAAAAUACAUUCAUCUGAACUAUGCAGGAUUUCAUUAGCAAAACCUAAAUAUAUUCCACAAAAUGUUAUCUCAGCAUGGUUUGCUUUUUCUUUUCUCCUGAAAAAAUGUAAUGCAACUGAUAAUGGAAACAGAGAUGCUUUGUAGGAAGCAAGCUUGUGGAACUAACUUACAUGAAUUAUUCUUUGACAUCUUCAUUCAGGCUCACUGAACAGUGAGAAGCGUUGUUCAUAUUUCACCCAUUCUGCUGCAUCAAAGAGAAAUUCCAUAAUCUACCACGGGUCACAGAAAAACCUGUACCAGGUAUCUUUUACUCCAUUUGGUACCUUAACUAGAAGAUAAAUCAAGGGAAAUAAGGUAUGGGAGAGACAGCUUUCCUUGCAUUAAGUGUAGGUGCUCACACUUGUCAGAUGAAUAUUCGUUUUAUAUUUUGUUUCUCCUAUAGUGUGAAAUACCCAAUCUCACUGUAUUUGCCCCUAGAUUUAAACACCGUUCCUUUUUUCCCUCCAAAGUAUUUUGCAUAUACAGAAACUUUUAAUGGAUACUAUUUCACUGGCAUUUCUGCAUAAACAAGACCUUGUAAUCCUCAAAAGGUCAUAAAGCUGCAACUGUGAAACAUAAUGAAGAGAGGUGACUCAUAUACAAAGUACGCUACCAGCCUUUUUCUUGAUAAAGAACAUCCACUCCAGAGUUCCCAAAGUACCUGCAGGGGUCUUUUAAAGCUCGGAAGCUAUUCAAAGCCACCUACAUAACACACUAUUUAUGGCUCACUAGAAGUUUCUCAAGGUGAGAACCUACUUUUUAGCUGUUACAGGUCACUGCGCACACACUGGUUUACAUAAAUAACAGUUGAUUUGCCAAUAUUUCUUUAUUUUUCAUUGGUACACUGACAUGCUAUCCUACCAGGAAGCAUCAGAAGCAAUUAUGGCUUUUAAUGAUCUCUAAUGAAAGCCAUUAAAGGCUAAAGAAACCAUAAUAUUUCUACAGGGUUGGGUUUGCUUGUUUGUUUUGCUGCAGGGUGACCAGCUUUUGUUACAACAGAUUUCUUUUUGCAAGCCUAGAGAUCCAGGAAAGAUUCAUAAGGACCAAUGAGGUUUCAUGUCUGAAAAAUACCUGCUGCUCACAUUGGACAAACCCCAUGCCGAUUCCCUCAGUGUUAUCAACAACCUUUCCAAUGAUUUUGGUUACGUUAUUUAAAUCUUCAAGUAAGAGAUUCACACAGUGUAACUGCCUUCUAACAUACUGACUCAUUUUAUAUAAAAAAACAAAACACGUGUCUACGUUUGGGUAGUUCAACAGACAGCCAGCACCUGUGGCACCCCUGUGAAAGUGUAUUUAGGAAAGGACAGAGAGUCUUAGAGGGAACAUGAGAGAAGCAGAAGGUAUAUUAUGGAGAAGCUGCUAUUCUCCUACAGGACCUGUAGAAGAAACCACUGAAAACUCUGAAAGAAUGAACGUAAACGGGAACUAAUUACAGAUUUUGCAGAUAGUAAAACGCAGGUGUCGUGAAGCCUGACGGGAGUUACCACGAGGAGCACGUCUCGGACUUCCCGUGUGCGAUAAAACCAGAGGGCAGUGCCGUCCCUGUGCUGUACCAUCCGCAAAGCCGGGCGGACCGCUGCCCCGCGCCCCCAGCCCUGCCCGCCCUGCCCCGCCACUAGGGGAGGGGACCAGACCGCGCCGAGCGGGGCGGCUGCGCUGGACGUUACCUCCUCCCACUCCGCCUCCACGCCGUGCUCGGGCGGCUUCACCUGCAGCCGAGCGAACAGGCACUGCUGCAGUAAGGCCCGAGCCAGCACCGGCCGCGCCGCCGCCAUGGGACAGAGAACGAGAGGGAGGGAGCGGCCUGAGGGCUGGCGCACAGCCCGGGCAGGGCGGCGGGGUCACGGUGCAGCGCACGUUGCUUUUCCGGGUUAGCGAGUCCUGUGGCUGCAGUGAGGGGCUGGGCGUUACAAAGCACUGCGCAUGGGUGCCGAGUCAUUGGUAUGUGUGAGGAGCUCUGGGCCAGCAGUAGUCUGAGGAGGGGCAGGGAGCCACGUGAGAAGGAUGUAGCUGUAGAACAGAAAGCGUUUGAAUAGCUCGUAUUUAAAGAGCCCUACUGCUGCCAGGAAGCUGGUGGCUCGCUUGGCUUGUUUGCAUGAGAAAAAUGCUACUUAGCUUAUUUCCUAGUGGGGCAGUAUUACAUGCUGUGUGGAUUCUGCAUGAAAAGUAAAGGCCAAAACUGAACAAUGGAAGGACGGGUCGUUGCUGCUUUGCAGACUAGAGGUGCUUGGAUUCCAUUUCCUGAAGUUUCAUGUCAGGGUUUUUUCUCAGUGACACUACUUGGAAGCAGGAGGAAAAACAAAUAACACAGUUAACACAACGGAUGUAUGUGUGGCCAGGGAUCAGAUUUAAGAUCUGAAGGAAAGUUAAACUAUUGCACCUGCUGCUUCUGUGAUCGGUCACAUUUCCGACUCCGUGUCCCGGCCCACUGAGUAGGUGACUUUUGCCCCCCUCUCAUGAGUUCUGAGACAUGUUGGGAUCACCUGCAGCAAAUGUAGUAUGGGCUGGUGCAGAACUCAGCUUCUCAGAGCUUCUAUGAAAGACCUGAAAUCUUGUUUUCAAAACCACAUUAAAAAAAAUAAAGUAACACAGAUCAGAGUCAUGAGAAACUAAAUUUUAUUUCUUGGUCUUAGUCAUCAAACAAGCUUAGUGCAGUUAACCACUGCACAGCAAGAGGCAAUAUGCUCUCAUUAAUAGCCAUUGUUACACGAAGGUUGGAUUAAAAUAUGCUCUUUUGCAUUAGUGCUCUGAGAGGUUGCUCUUUAAAAAGCAAACCUUUAUUAAAAAUGAUGGAAUCACACUAGGUGGCUAGUGCGUAAACUAGCUCUUUUCUAUUAGCUGUAGGGAAAUAUAUGAGUAAGUAUGAGUUAUUUUUAUUUAAACUUAGCUGAUUUUAUUUAAAAUACCUUCUGUUCAUUUAUUCUAAAGCUCUAUCCCUAGACUCAAUUAGAAGAACUUAAUGAGGUAGAAAUCCAUUUAAAAUGAGUUUCUUCAUAUAUAUUUGUGGUUUAAAUUUAUUAUUAAGGAAAAUGGGUAUUACUACAGCCUCUGAGCAAAUUGUGGAAGUAGAAUACAAAUAGUUUCAAAUACAUGUGGCUAUUAGUUAUUCCUUGUUGUGAUACCAUUGUUUACACCAGAAUUCGAUGCAUUUAUUCAUAUGCAAGUUUAAAAACAUAUGGCAUAUGGUUGUGAACCAGUACAUUGAACAAUUAGUACAGGAUCAUUAUGUGCAUCAUUCUUGAUGUAAUUAUAUUGUACUUCCCCUGGAAAAACAAAUGUAUGUUAUUGUAGCACAUAUUCAGUUUCUUGAAUUGUGUUGGGCCAUAGUUAGACGAAAGAUCUCUUUUGUAAGCCAAAGAAUGUUUGGCUAAAUUUUAGCCAUUUGAAUUUGUGGUUGGUUUUUCUUUUGUUUUUCUGUAUGAGAGAACCUCCGUAUUUGUAAGGAAUGUAUUCAUGUAUAAAAUACAUUAAUACUUUUAACAGUUAUUAUAAUAAAGGUGUUUUCCUACAUGCUAUGGGUUUUAUAGCUGUCCCGGGAUAUUUACUGUAUGCUAUCUGCUUCUUGACCCUGCAGCAGAGAGUAGGUAUUUAGAGAGUGACUGUAUCCAGAAGGCACUUUUUGUUAUUUUCACACCAGUUCUUUUUAAGAGGGACAGAUGGCAGCAUGAUCCACUUCUCGUGAACCACAGAAGAUUAGAGAUCAGGAACUGUAGAUUAAGCUCAUGGAUCUGCCUCUGGCUCAGUCUAAAACCAUGAAGAGUUACUGUCUUUCACAGUGGUGGAUUAACUGGAGAAAGAAAUAAGCAUUACAGUAAUCUGCUGUUUUGCCUUCACAGUUUUGGACUAGCAUGGUUUUAUAUGUAGUACUUAUAGAAAGUGCUCUUGGAUCACAUUUAUUUUGAGCUGUGAUUGUUUCAGCAUGCAAGGAUCAAUCUGGAAGAUGUUGCUGCUGGCACGAUUGUGUAAGUGGUCCAUAUACACCCAAAGAACAUCAUUUCCCCUGGGUGAUGCCUUGCGUUGCUAAUGUACUAGAAAUUAUGAGAAAAGUAUUUAAUGACCAUAGAGCAAAACUGAAUUGGUUUGGAAUGUGAGACAGAUUCUUUAAAUAAUUAGUGAAUACCAAACCAGUAGAAGUUGGUGUUGUUUCUCAAUUAGCCUCAUUGUUCAAAUUAGAUUAAUUUGCUAUACAAAACUCAUUUAUGAUCCAGGUUCUGAUGCUAACAAAAAUGCUUCCUGUAAAACAUAAGUUCGUUACUGAGCAAAUGAAUGAAGAACAGAAUUAAAGUGGUUUCACAAAUUGAAGUUGUGCCUGAAUACCAUUAUUACUCAAACCAGUGCAGUCAAAUGGAUUAGUGAAGCUUUUAGGGCAGUGAAGAUCUUAAUUCUGUAUCUGUGUGGUGUCAAAUGCAACAAUAAAUAAAUAAAUAAAUAAAAAGAUUCCUUCCGCCAAUGGAA
Molecule: non-coding RNA, 13357 nt
Organism: Coturnix japonica (Japanese quail)
Lineage: Eukaryota; Metazoa; Chordata; Aves; Galliformes; Phasianidae
Source: RefSeq, a predicted model, not a curated record